UAAGCGGAGGAAAAGAAACCAACUGGGAUUAGGUUAGUAACGGCGAGUGAAGCGGUAAAAGCUCAAAUUUGAAAUCUGGUACUUUCAGUGCCCGAGUUGUAAUUUGUAGAAUUUGUCUUUGAUUAGGUCCUUGUCUAUGUUCCUUGGAACAGGACGUCAUAGAGGGUGAGAAUCCCGUUUGGCGAGGAUACCUUUUCUCUGUAAGACUUUUUCGAAGAGUCGAGUUGUUUGGGAAUGCAGCUCAAAGUGGGUGGUAAAUUCCAUCUAAAGCUAAAUAUUGGCGAGAGACCGAUAGCGAACAAGUACAGUGAUGGAAAGAUGAAAAGAACUUUGAAAAGAGAGUGAAAAAGUACGUGAAAUUGUUGAAAGGGAAGGGCAUUUGAUCAGACAUGGUGUUUUUUGCAUGCACUCGCCUCUCGUGGGCUUGGGCCUCUCAAAAAUUUCACUGGGCCAACAUCAAUUCUGGCAGCAGGAUAAAUCAUUAAGAAUGUAGCUACUUCGGUAGUGUUAUAGCUUUUUGGAAUACUGUUAGCCGGGAUUGAGGACUGCGCUUCGGCAAGGAUGUUGGCAUAAUGGUUAAAUGCCGCCCGUCUUGA
This 596-nucleotide ribosomal RNA is filed under the name Hanseniaspora uvarum. RNAcentral's name for it is "eukaryotic LSU rRNA". It matches the Rfam family "Eukaryotic large subunit ribosomal RNA", at positions 47 to 657 of the family's 3401-position model. Lineage: Eukaryota; Fungi; Ascomycota; Saccharomycetes; Saccharomycodales; Saccharomycodaceae. The record is from RNAcentral.